CUACGGGACGCAGCUGUGAGGAAUAUUGCACAAUGGGGGCAACCCUGAUGCAGCAACGCCGCGUGGAGGAUGACGCAUUUCGGUGUGUAAACUCCUUUUAUCAGAGAAGAACCAUGACGGUAUCUGAUGAAUAAGCUCCGGCUAACUCCGUGCCAGCAGCCGCGGUAAUACGGAGGGAGCAAGCGUUAUUCGGAAUCACUGGGCGUAAAGGACGCGUAGGCCGGUCUGUAAGUCAGGUGUGAAAUGCAAUGGCUCAACCAUUGAACUGCACUUGAAACUGCGGACCUAGAGUAUGGAAGGGGCAGAUGGAAUUAGUGGUGUAGGGGUAAAAUCCGUAGAUAUCACUAGGAAUACCGAAAGCGAAGGCGAUCUGCUGGGACAUAACUGACGCUGAGGCGUGAAAGCGUGGGGAGCAAACAGGAUUAGAUACCCCCGUAGUC
This 440-nucleotide ribosomal RNA is filed under the name uncultured bacterium. RNAcentral describes it as "partial 16S ribosomal RNA". It matches the Rfam family "Bacterial small subunit ribosomal RNA", at positions 339 to 795 of the family's 1533-position model. The record is from RNAcentral.